Folsomia candida is the source of this 532-nucleotide long non-coding RNA. RefSeq lists it as uncharacterized. The transcript is spliced from 3 exons. NCBI's taxonomy places the organism in Eukaryota, Metazoa, Arthropoda, Collembola, Entomobryomorpha, Isotomidae. The record is from RefSeq and is a predicted model, not a curated record.
UGUUAUCGCCUGGAAGAUAAGGAUAGGACAAUAGUUGUCGUGGUGGUGGAAGUGGUCGUAGCGGUGGUGGCAUGGGAAACUGAUUGUAAAAAUAGUGGGGCGGGGGGUGAGGCACCCAUUCGGGAGGUAGGUUUCUAUCAUUGCGCCUCAUUUUAUAAAAAAUGACAAAGAACUGAUAAGUUUGUUUUCAGAAGACUAAAAGGACGCUGAUGACUCACUGGCUGGCUGGAAAAACUAACUAACUAACCAACUUUAAAACCCUAACGAAUAUAAAGUCCAACCACACAAGCUCAAAUUACACUCUACACGUAGCAGUGGUGUUUUCAACAAAAUAUCAAUACAGCUUCAAAUUACAACGGAUUCUUAUUACAACCACUAAAAACCUUGGAAACUAAUCACCUUCAAAAACAAUGGUCUGGGUUGGAGGAGUCCAUUAGUGGCGUUUUACUUUUGUCCGAAAAUAAGACCAACCUUCAACAGUCAAUGGACACCCAGUUGGCCAAAUUAAUACUUUCAGAUCAAUUUUUGAAAU